This is a long non-coding RNA of Cyprinus carpio carpio, 214 nucleotides long. The record is from Ensembl. Lineage: Eukaryota; Metazoa; Chordata; Actinopteri; Cypriniformes; Cyprinidae.
AUGAUGGGGGAUCCUAUGUACCCACCCUCAACCAUUCAUCAAAAGGACUGUAAAGGUGGGAAUUCUCUGAACAACCAGGGGCAGUUUCCACGGGAUGAAAAAGGGCAUACUAGUGGAUGAUGGGAGUAUUGACAUUAACCUGUUGUAUUCACUGUAUUACACAUUUUUGUCAGUUUUCCAUUUCAAGUACUGGUGGUUUUGAUUUUGUCUGGAU